RNAcentral lists this ribosomal RNA (421 nucleotides) under uncultured Glomeromycotina. RNAcentral's name for it is "SSU rRNA". It matches the Rfam family "Eukaryotic small subunit ribosomal RNA", at positions 673 to 1092 of the family's 1831-position model. The record is from RNAcentral. Lineage: Eukaryota; Fungi; Glomeromycota.
GUACGUACUGGCAUUGUUGGUUUCUCCCUUCUGACGAACCAUGAUGUCAUUUAUUUGGUGUUGUGGGGAAUCAGGACUGUUACUUUGAAAAAAUUAGAGUGUUUAAAGCAGGCUCACGCUUGAAUACAUUAGCAUGGAAUAAUGAAAUAGGACGUUUGAUUCUAUUUUGUUGGUUUCUAGGAUCGACGUAAUGAUUAAUAGGGAUAGUUGGGGGCAUUAGUAUUCAAUUGUCAGAGGUGAAAUUCUUGGAUUUAUUGAAGACUAACUACUGCGAAAGCAUUUGCCAAGGAUGUUUUCAUUAAUCAAGAACGAAAGUUAGGGGAUCGAAGACGAUCAGAUACCGUCGUAGUCUUAACCAUAAACUAUGCCGACUAGGGAUCGGAUGAUGUUAAUUUUUUAAUGACUCACUCGGCGCCUUACG